Molecule: ribosomal RNA, 485 nt
Filed under: uncultured bacterium
Lineage: Bacteria
Description: partial 16S ribosomal RNA
Rfam family: Bacterial small subunit ribosomal RNA
Source: RNAcentral
AUUGAACGCUGGCGGCAUGCCUUACACAUGCAAGUCGAACGGCAGCGGGCCCUUCGGGGUGCCGGCGAGUGGCGAACGGGUGAGUAAUGCAUCGGAACGUACCCGGGAGAGGGGGAUAACCGGCCGAAAGGCUGGCUAAUACCGCAUGAACUUGGAAGAGCAAAGCGGGGGACCUUCGGGCCUCGCGCUCUCGGAGCGGCCGAUGUCCGAUUAGGCUAGUUGGUGGGGUAAAGGCCCACCAAGGCGACGAUCGGUAGCGGGUCUGAGAGGACGAUCCGCCACACUGGGACUGAGACACGGCCCAGACUCCUACGGGAGGCAGCAGUGGGGAAUCUUGGACAAUGGGCGCAAGCCUGAUCCAGCAAUGCCGCGUGGGUGAAGAAGGCCUUCGGGUUGUAAAGCCCUUUCGGCGGGGAAGAAAUCGGUCAGGCGAAUAGUCUGGCCGGAUGACGGUACCCGCAGAAGAAGCACCGGCUAACUACGUG